UCACUUUCAUGCCCUACAUUC
This 21-nucleotide non-coding RNA is filed under the name Arabidopsis thaliana (thale cress). The record is from RNAcentral. Lineage: Eukaryota; Viridiplantae; Streptophyta; Magnoliopsida; Brassicales; Brassicaceae.